RNAcentral lists this ribosomal RNA (920 nucleotides) under uncultured bacterium. RNAcentral's name for it is "bacterial SSU rRNA". It matches the Rfam family "Bacterial small subunit ribosomal RNA", at positions 9 to 916 of the family's 1533-position model. The record is from RNAcentral.
GAGUUUGAUCAUGGCUCAGGAUGAACGCUAGCGACAGGCUUAACACAUGCAAGUCGAGGGGCAGCGGGGGCGAAGCUUGCUUCGUCUGCCGGCGACCGGCGCACGGGUGAGUAACACGUAUGCAACCUGCCCGCCACAGGGGGAUAAGCGGAAGAAAUUCCGUCUAAUACCGCGUGACGCGGCGUCGGGGCAUCCCGGUGCCGCCAAAGGGAUUACCGGUGGCGGAUGGGCAUGCGGCGCAUUAGCUAGUCGGCGGGGUAACGGCCCACCGAGGCGACGAUGCGUAGGGGUUCUGAGAGGAAGGUCCCCCACACUGGUACUGAGACACGGACCAGACUCCUACGGGAGGCAGCAGUGAGGAAUAUUGGUCAAUGGGCGCGAGCCUGAACCAGCCAAGUCGCGUGAGGGAUGGCGGUCCUACGGAUUGUAAACCUCUUUUGCCGGGGAGCAAGCGUGCGUUCGUGAACGCGCGUCGAGAGUACCCGGAGAAAAAGCAUCGGCUAACUCCGUGCCAGCAGCCGCGGUAAUACGGAGGAUGCGAGCGUUAUCCGGAUUUAUUGGGUUUAAAGGGUGCGUAGGCGGGAUGCCAAGUCAGCGGUAAAAAUGCGGUGCUCAACGCCGUCGAGCCGUUGAAACUGGCGUUCUUGAGUGGGCGAGAAGUAUGCGGAAUGCGUGGUGUAGCGGUGAAAUGCAUAGAUAUCACGCAGAACUCCGAUUGCGAAGGCAGCAUACCGGCGCCCUACUGACGCUGAGGCACGAAAGCGUGGGUAUCGAACAGGAUUAGAUACCCUGGUAGUCCACGCAGUAAACGAUGAAUGCUAACUGUCCGGUGCGAGUGAGCGCUGGGCGGUACAGCGAAAGCGUUAAGCAUUCCACCUGGGGAGUACGCCGGCAACGGUGAAACUCAAAGGAAUUGACGG